RNAcentral lists this ribosomal RNA (450 nucleotides) under uncultured bacterium. Its description in RNAcentral is "partial 16S ribosomal RNA". It matches the Rfam family "Bacterial small subunit ribosomal RNA", at positions 354 to 796 of the family's 1533-position model. The record is from RNAcentral.
GUGGGGAAUUUUGGACAAUGGGCGCAAGCCUGAUCCAGCAAUGCCGCGUGCAGGAAGAAGGCCUUCGGGUUGUAAACUGCUUUUGUACGGAACGAAACGGUCCUGGCUAAUACCCGGGGCUAAUGACGGUACCGUAAGAAUAAGCACCGGCUAACUACGUGCCAGCAGCCGCGGUAAUACGUAGGGUGCGAGCGUUAAUCGGAAUUACUGGGCGUAAAGCGUGCGCAGGCGGUGCUGUAAGACAGGCGUGAAAUCCCCGGGCGCAACCUGGGAAUUGCGCUUGUGACUGCAGUGCUGGAGUACGGCAGAGGGGGAUGGAAUUCCGCGUGUAGCAGUGAAAUGCGUAGAUAUGCGGAGGAACACCGAUGGCGAAGGCAGUCCCCUGGGCCUGUACUGACGCUCAUGCACGAAAGCGUGGGGAGCAAACAGGAUUAGAAACCCGUGUAGUCC